UUUAACUUAUUUUUCAAACUUCCAGAAUCCACCAGUAAGAGGAUCACAAUCCGAAGAAGUUACAGCAUUCUGAUUGAGAAAGAGUGGCAUUCUUAAGGAUACCUUCCAUCAAUUAUUGAUGCCAGAUUCCCAGAAAAUUGUCCUUCCUCUGCUGUUUUUAUAGGAGAUAGUCAGCUUCAGUCAAGGGACACUGUUGUGGCAAGUCCAUAGAAUUCUCUGGAACAACAACAAAAAAUUCUCUGGAACAAUAGGAAAAAUGAAGAUCCAGUCUAGGGCAAGCUGA
Molecule: long non-coding RNA, 283 nt
Filed under: Vulpes vulpes (red fox)
Lineage: Eukaryota; Metazoa; Chordata; Mammalia; Carnivora; Canidae
Description: lncRNA (ENSVVUG00000008390.1)
Source: RNAcentral